GAUGAACGCUGGCGGCGUGCUUAACACAUGCAAGUCGAACGGUGAAGCAGGAGCUUGCUCUUGUGGAUCAGUGGCGAACGGGUGAGUAACACGUGAGCAACCUGCCCCUGACUCUGGGAUAAGCGCUGGAAACGGCGUCUAAUACUGGAUAUGUGAUGUGACCGCAUGGUCUGCAUCUGGAAAGAAUUUCGGUUGGGGAUGGGCUCGCGGCCUAUCAGCUUGUUGGUGAGGUAAUGGAGCACCAAGGCGUCGACGGGUAGCCGGCCUGAGAGGGUGACCGGCCACACUGGGACUGAGACACGGCCAGACUCCUACGGGAGGCAGCAGUGGGGAAUAUUGCACAAUGGGCGGAAGCCUGAUGCAGCAACGCCGCGUGAGGGAUGACGGCCUUCGGGUUGUAAACCUCUUUUAGCAGGGAAGAAGCGAAAGUGACGGUACCUGCAGAAAAAGCACCGGCUAACUACGUGCCAGCCGCCGCGGUAA
RNAcentral lists this ribosomal RNA (483 nucleotides) under uncultured bacterium. RNAcentral's name for it is "partial 16S ribosomal RNA". It matches the Rfam family "Bacterial small subunit ribosomal RNA", at positions 28 to 523 of the family's 1533-position model. The record is from RNAcentral.